This 227-nucleotide ribosomal RNA is filed under the name uncultured bacterium. Its description in RNAcentral is "partial 16S ribosomal RNA". It matches the Rfam family "Bacterial small subunit ribosomal RNA", at positions 15 to 226 of the family's 1533-position model. The record is from RNAcentral.
GAUCCUGGCUCAGGACGAACGCUGGCGGCGUGCUUAACACAUGCAAGUCGAACGAGAAUCUGUGGAUCGAGGAUUCGUCCAAGUGAAGCAGAGGACAGUGGCGGACGGGUGAGUAACGCGUGAGGAACCUGCCUUUCAGAGGGGACAACAGUUGGAAACGACUGCUAAUACCGCAUGAUACAUUUGGGUGGCAUCAUCUGAAUGCCAAAGAUUUAUCGCUGAAAGAU